This is a long non-coding RNA of Ruditapes philippinarum (Manila clam), 850 nucleotides long. RefSeq lists it as uncharacterized. The transcript is spliced from 2 exons. The record is from RefSeq and is a predicted model, not a curated record. Lineage: Eukaryota; Metazoa; Mollusca; Bivalvia; Venerida; Veneridae.
UUAUAUGCCCGAAAGAAUUUCGGACAUAUUAUGUUAUACCCCCUGGCGUCCGUCCGUCUGUCUGUCUGUCCAUCCGUCCGUCUGUCCGUCCGUCCGUUAGCAAUUUGGUUUCCGGAGCAUAACUUAAGUUCCAUUUGGCCCACAAUAUUCAAACUUCAUAGGAUGAUUGUCCAUAUUGAGUAGAAGACCUCUAUUGAUUUUGGGGUCAUAAGGUCAAAGGUCAAGGUCACUAUGACCUUAAAACUGAAAACGUUAGCAAUUUGGUUUCCGGAGCAUAACUUAAGUUCCAUUUGGCCCACAAUAUUCAAACUUCAUAGGAUGAUUGUCCAUAUUGGGUAGAAGACCCCUAUUGAUUUUGGGGUCAUAAGGUCAAAGGUCAAGGUCACUAUGACCUUAAAACUGAAAACAGUUUCCGGAGCAUAACUUAAGUUCCAUUUGGCACACAGUGUUCAAACUUCAUAGGAUGAUUGACAAUAUUGGGUAGAAGACCCCUAUUGAUUUUGGGUUCACAAGGUCAAAGGUCAAGGUCACUAUUACCUUAGAACUGAAAACAGUUUCCGGAGCAUAACUUAAGUUCUAUUUGGCCCACAGUGUUCAAACUUCAUAGGAUUAUUGUCCAUAUUGGGUAGAAGACCCCUAUUGAUUUUGGGGUCACAAGGUCAAAGGUCAAGGUCACUAUUACUUAGAAAUUGAAAACAGUUUCUUGAGCAUAACUUUAGUUCCAUUUAGCCCACAAUAUUCAAACUUCAUAGGAUGAUUGUCCAUAUUGGGUAGAAGACCCCUAUUGAUUUUGGGGUCACAAGGUCAAGGCCACUAUUACCUUAAAACUGAAAACAGUUUUCGGAAUAUA